GCUAAUUUUUGUAUUUUUAGUAGAGGUGGGGUUUCAUCACUUUAGCCAGACUGGUCUCGAACUCCUGACCUCAGGUGAUCUGCCCACCUUGGCCUACCAAAAUGCUAGAAUUACAGUCAUGAGCCACUGUGCCCUGCCCCUACCCAACAUUCUGAUGGUAAACACUUAGGUAAUCACUAAGAAGUUCUGGACUUUCUCUAGUCCUUUAUUCCAAAUCCUCACCAGAAUCACCCUUAAUGCUCUGACCAUGGCAAUGCAGGCCUUUAUCUAGGUUGCUCCUUCAAAUUCUUCCAGGCUCUACCCAUUACCCCUACCCAGGUCCAAAGAUGCUUUCACAUUUUCAGGUAUUUGCUAUAGCAAUAGCCCCCUUUUGGCACCAGUUUUUGGUCUUAGUCUAUUUUCUGUUACUGUAACAGAAUACCAUAGACUGGAUAAUUUAUAAAGAAAAAGGUUAUUCAUCUCCUGAUUAGGGAGGCUGGGUAGUCCAAGAGCAUGGCACCUGCAUCUGGUAAAAGCCUUUUUGCUGUGUCUUAAUACUGCAGAGGGUAUCACAUGGCAAGAGGGCAAGAGCAAGAGAGCCAGGGAGAGCUCACUUUUAUAACAAAGCCACUCCUGAGAUGACAAACUCACACCCAUGGUAGUGACAUUAAUUUAUGGAUGGGAGCAGAGCCCUCGUUAACCUAUUAAUCUAUUCUUGAGGGCAGAGCCAACAUUAAUUUAUUCAUGAAGGAAGAGGGAUCAAAUUUUCAACACAUGAACUUUUGGGGGACACAUUCAAACCACAGCAAUCUAAUUCUAAAUUUUCAGCCCCUUGAAGGCAAAAUAUUUUUUUCUGAUUGGUCUUGGUCUCUUUUGCAGCACAAGGAAGGCAUUCAAUAAAUGAUAAUUGAAUAGACAGCUGGAAUGACAAAAGGACUAAUAAAUACAUACAUGAAAAACAUUGUACUCUCUGCUAAUAUUCUCUUGGGGCAGAUAAAUACUACAGGCAUGAUUUGACCCACCCAGAGCAGAGAAUAAAGGGUAGAAACCUAGGGUUAGAACAGUUGCCAGUGGGAGAAACCAAUGGCAGAGGACAUAGGCCUUGCACAUAGUAUAUGUUCAGAAAAUUAUGUUUGAAUUUUAUCUGAAUUGCAGAGUUUCAGACUAGGUUUGGGAUUUUCUGCACACAUAUACAAGGACAACAGAUUGGCCAAAAAAAAGCCAAGAAAUUAAUGUAUGAGACAGGGCCCUCCAUUCCAUGGCUAUACAGUAGCCCUAUCUCACUUUUGCCUCCUGAUGUCUAAAACCUUUUCAAAAGAUGAUGGUGAAAGAUAAAUAUUGAAAUACAAUUCCCCUAGGUGAUCGUACUAGAUAUUUAUGUUUUGGCUUCACAACAUCUAUUGCCCCUUCUGUAGGAGACAACUUCAACUUUCAUUUGGGGAUCCACUUCUCCCCAAUUUUAGCCCACAGAAUCUGGACCCAAAUUGCAAUAUAUGAUGCAGGCCUAAGACAAUUGGUGCAUCACAGUCCCUGGGCCAUAGUGACUUGUUCAAAGAUUGGCAUGUGACCUAGGCUAGUCCAAUCAGAAUGAAGUUUAGAACUUUGGCUGGACAUUCUAAACAAGAGUGUUCAUUCUUCUAUUGGAUUUGAACGUAGGAGGAUAUAGAGCCACGUGUUGCUAGCAGCCACUUUUGGGGUAUGAGUAAAGAGCCUUUCUCAAAAUAGUGCUACCUGACAGUGGAAAUGGGAAUGACUUGCCACAGCCCCUGCGUAGCUCAGCCCCUAAAGCCAAAAUUUUUUCUGGACUUUUCUUCUACCUGAUCCAGUAAAUUCCUUUUUGUGGUUAAGACCCAGUUUGGGUUUGAUUUUCUGUCACUUACAAUCAACAGAUUUGAGAGAGGAUUCCAAAUGUCUUGAAAAAGAGGUGAUCCAAUGGCUUGAAUUCACAAUAAAAAUAAAUGGAUAUAUCACACACUAUUGGUGCACCCUUCCAACAUUCUCUCUCUGCUCUCCUGGCAGGCGUGAGAACUGCAGCUUGAGGGGACAGUAAUCAUACCUGCUGAUGUCUUUCUAUCUCAACUGCCCACAUAUCUGGGAACAUUCUCUGGCCAUAGGAGCAUAUUCAUCCCAUACACAUCCCAGAAUGGAUAGUUAAUGUCCCCAGAAACAAACUUUAGCCACUGAGGGGUAAAAGUUGGCUUUCCUUCAGUGGGGCCAUUCUGAGGUGGGUUUCACAGAGCAUACCUGAUGGAAUGGAGUCCUGAUUGUCAGCAUUAACUCACUCAUUGUCCUUCCUCUCUCUUCUGUCUUUUUCUUUCUGUAUGAUACCUGAAAUCAUCUCCCAGAUAAAAAUCUUGCACCCUAAACUUUAUCUCAAUGUCUGUUUUGAGGGGAGCCCAAACUAAUAAAAUGAUUGAUAGCUAUUGUUUCUAGAAAACAGUGGAAGGAGGAAAAGAAUACUGCAAGGGGAAGGAAAUGCCAUGAGAAAAUUCGAGCACAGGAAAGAUACUGGAGCCAUCUUCUGUAAGGAGUAACCCACUGCCCAAUCGUUAGAGGAUGGAAUUAGUAUUUGUCACUUAAAGCAUUCCCUUCUCUAUUAUUAUGAAAAACAGCACAAGAUUUGGAGCACUGAGAUCUGAAACUGACUUUCAGCUCUACCCCUUCCUGUUACUGUCAACCAUCAGCAGCUACAUGUUGCAGAUGAUCCUAUGGGGAGGCCCAUGUGGCAGAGAACUAAAGGAGGCCUCUGGCCAGCAGCCAGUGAAGAGCUCAGGCACUCUGUUAAAAGCCCAUGAAGAAUGGAAUCCCGACAAAAAUCUCUUGAGUAAACUUAGAAUAAGAUCCAUCCCCAGUCAAGCCUGAAGAUGAGACUGCAGCCCAGCCAGCACCUUGAUUAGGCCUUGUUAGGGACCAGAGAACUCAGCUAAGCCAUGCCUAGAUUCUUGAUGCACAGAAACUGUGAGAUAAUGACUAUGGGUUAGUUUAAGUCACUAAUUUGGAGAGAGUAAUUUAUUAAACAGUAAUAAAUAACUAGUACAGCAAUGUUCCUACACAUAUACAUCUAUAGAACUUAGGAAAUCCACAAUAAAAUAACCAACUCAACAAUGGAAGUUACAGUUUUGAAGAAUGACCAUCCAUCAAGAUGGGGCAAGCAACCAGAAGAAAAUUUUUACAAUUAUCCAUUUUUGAAACUUGAAAUUUAUGUACUUCCUUGUUUGAUGAUGCAUUAGCAUGAAGUGCUUACCAUAAUAAAAGGUUUUCCAUCAUGAUGUAGAAUAUUUUUUAAAAUCAUUGGAGGCAGCAGAGGAAGUAGACUUUCACAUUCAGUGAUGACUUAGGACUGUCCUUUGUAUUCAAUCAUAAAGCUUUU
This 3349-nucleotide long non-coding RNA is filed under the name Homo sapiens (human). RNAcentral describes it as "HSALNT0050564". The record is from RNAcentral. Lineage: Eukaryota; Metazoa; Chordata; Mammalia; Primates; Hominidae.